This 914-nucleotide long non-coding RNA is filed under the name Citrus sinensis (sweet orange). RNAcentral describes it as "long non-coding RNA (CSIN_LNC001242)". Lineage: Eukaryota; Viridiplantae; Streptophyta; Magnoliopsida; Sapindales; Rutaceae. The record is from RNAcentral.
UUGGCGACGGCGGCGUCUCUCCCGCUAGAGAGCGGUCACAAACUCCGGUUUACAACAAUAAUGAAAAAUCAUCGAAACCCAGAAAGAGGCUGGUGAAAAAGGGUGCCAAGGAAAGCGGUAGCACGCCUAGUUUGAUAGACGAGAGAGAGGAUGAGUAUGAUGAUGAGGGGGAGGAUAAUAUAAUUGGGGAUGAUUUUGAGAGGGAGAUCGAGGAGAGGAAGAGGAAGAAAUGGGGGAAAGAAGGCGGUAAAGACCAUAAUACUAAGAAGAGGCUUAAGAGUGGCGGUGAUAAGAAGUUCUCUUCUAGUGGGGGGAAAUCAAGUGGCUUCAAAUCCUCUAGGGCUGGAAGUAUCAGAGAUAAUGAUAAGAUGCUUAAUGAAAUGUGGAAUGCUGUUGCUCCCACUGGUGAUUCUGAGGUAGGCUUUUUUGUUUCCGAAUAUUGGUUUUUGUUUGUUCAUUGGUUUAGUUUUGUUUAUAUGUGUUGCUUAUUAGAUUUGAAUUCUCACUUGAAUAGGAUGAUCAAGAGGGCGUUAGGACUUUGGAUGAUGAUAACUUUAUAGAUGAUAGUGGUGUGGAUCCUAGCGACAGGUAUGGAAGCGAUUCUGAGCCUCGCUUUGCUCAUGAUGCUCCUCAGGUAAAUACCCCAUUAAUGAUCCUCGUGUCAUCUCUAGAUUCUGUGUGUGUGCUUCUUAAAAUAUUGCCUAUGGGAUUAGGAUAUAUCCAUUGAUUGCACAAUAUGUGGUUUACAUGGUUUAGGCCUUAUGGUCAAUGAUCUUAUUUUUUCCAGGCAGAGGAAGGUGAUGAGGAUGAGGAAAUUAAGGAGCUCUUUAAGAUGGGUAAAAAAAGAAAAAAGAACGAGAAAAGUCCCGCAGAAAUUGCGUUGCUGGUUGAGAAUGUAAUGGCUGAGCUCGAGG